Molecule: ribosomal RNA, 460 nt
Filed under: uncultured bacterium
Lineage: Bacteria
Description: bacterial SSU rRNA
Rfam family: Bacterial small subunit ribosomal RNA
Source: RNAcentral
CCUANGGGAGGCUGCAGUGAGGAAUAUUGGUCAAUGGGCGAGAGCCUGAACCAGCCAUCCCGCGUGCAGGAAGAAUGCCCUAUGGGUUGUAAACUGCUUUUGUGCAUGAAGAACACCUCCGACGCGUCGGAGGCUGACGGUAAUGCGUGAAUAAGCACCGGCUAACUCCGUGCCAGCAGCCGCGGUAAUACGGAGGGUGCAAGCGUUAUCCGGAUUUAUUGGGUUUAAAGGGUGCGUAGGCGGCUAUUUAAGUCAGUGGUGAAAUCCUGCAGCUCAACUGUAGAACAGCCAUUGAAACUGAAUAGCUUGAGUGAUCUUGAGGUAGGCGGAAUGUGUAGUGUAGCGGUGAAAUGCUUAGAUAUUACACAGAACACCGAUUGCGAAGGCAGCUUACUAAGGAUUUACUGACGCUGAUGCACGAAAGUGUGGGGAUCAAACAGGAUUAGAUACCCCANUANUC